This 460-nucleotide ribosomal RNA is filed under the name uncultured bacterium. RNAcentral's name for it is "partial 16S ribosomal RNA". It matches the Rfam family "Bacterial small subunit ribosomal RNA", at positions 338 to 795 of the family's 1533-position model. The record is from RNAcentral.
CCUACGGGAGGCAGCAGUGAGGAAUAUUGGUCAAUGGACGCAAGUCUGAACCAGCCAUGCCGCGUGAAGGAAGACUGCUCUAUGAGUUGUAAACUGCUUUUGUAAGGGGGUAAACCCAGAUACGCGUGUCUUUCUGCACGUAUCUUACGAAUAAGGAUCGGCUAACUCCGUGCCAGCAGCCGCGGUAAUACGGAGGAUUCAAGCGUUAUCCGGAUUUAUUGGGUUUAAAGGGUGCGUAGGCGGGCGGAUAAGUUAGAGGUGAAAUCCCGCGGCUCAACCUCGGAAUUGCCUUUGAUACUGGUAGGCUAGAGAGUAGUUGCGGUAGGCGGAAUGUAUGGUGUAGCGGUGAAAUGCUUAGAGAUCACACAGAACACCGAUUGCGAAGGCAGCUUACUAAGCUACGUCUGACGUUGAGGCACGAAAGCGUGGGGAGCAAACAGGAUUAGAUACCCGGGUAGUC